CUGAACCUGCCACCUUGCUCCCGGCAGCUAGAGCCCUGUCGAGCAUGACUGUGUAGAGGUGUUGGACUCAAGUUUACUCCAGCAGACCUGACCUCCAGGACCAGCCUUGGGCAUCAGUAGACUAGGAGCUAUACUUGGACGGGAACAGCUUCAUCAACUCACAAGGAGAGAGAUGUGCAGAAUAUGCGGUGGUAACCCUGGACACUGUCGUUAAGCUGAGCUCAUUACUUUAAUUUUGGCCUCAGAACUCAGUAAAGUUGCAGGUGUUGUGUCUUGGAUCCACCAGUCAGCGAACACCGGCAGCUCAGGACAAGUGGACCAGCCAGCAGGACGCAGAUCAUCCAACCCGGCUGAUCCUGAGAUGAGAUCAAGCUGCUGCCGAGGACGACAGCCCUGCUCUGGUCACUCCGGAGGCUGACCAGUCUGCGCAUGGCCAAAGCUUGAGGACUCAUCAAGCAAGUCAAUGUAGUUAAAAAUCUUAAGACUAACAGUUUUCCUGUAAUACUAACUGUUUUUCUAUUCUGUUGCUGUCUUCAAUCUUUUUCCCAGGUAAGGACCUCUUUUGUCCUCGCUGGAUAUGAAUAUACUGUACAUUGUUUUGCUACUGUUACCCCCCCAUAACCAUGCUAGAAACACCUAUAUAAGGUGUCCCCACUCUAUACAUACUACUUAGCAAACCCAGACCCUCCAGCCCAGCAACAAUUCCGAGUCUUGCAGUCAUUCUUUAAACAUAUAAACCAGAAGUUACCAGAACCUCCUCCUGUAGAAAAAAAAAAAAGGAAAAAGCCUAUUUGCUCAGUUGUCUGAAAACAGUGCUGGCAGCCUGGAUGUUUCUUCAUGUUACGUUUAUAAAAAGGCUAACGUAAGAGACCAAUGGCCUUGAGAAGCAAAAGCGUUAAUGCCUGAAGAUAACUUUACUUUAACUGACUCUUUCCCCAAACAGACGGCCCAAGUUCACGCAUCUGGCUCUUAAAAACUUCUGUUAUUAAAAAAAAACUGUGUUACUCACUAAGAAAAAGCUUUUAAGACCCAGUGAAAAACUAACCUGCUUAGGACAUGACAAAGUUGAUACAUGUGCCUGUGCAGGUUUAACACAGGUUU
RNAcentral lists this long non-coding RNA (1101 nucleotides) under Papio anubis (olive baboon). RNAcentral describes it as "lncRNA (ENSPANG00000048254.1)". The record is from RNAcentral. Lineage: Eukaryota; Metazoa; Chordata; Mammalia; Primates; Cercopithecidae.